Non-coding RNA from Acanthosepion pharaonis, 107 nucleotides. The record is from the annotation of a GenBank genome assembly. Lineage: Eukaryota; Metazoa; Mollusca; Cephalopoda; Sepiida; Sepiidae.
UACGGUCACAUUAUGUUGAAACACCGGUCCCCGUACGACCACUGAAGUUAAGCAACAUUAAGACUGGUCAGUACCUAGAUGGGUGACUGCUUGCGAAUAUAAUGUGU